AGGAGAAAAAUGCAAACUUUGUGAGAUAAGAUUGGAAUCUGAGACGAUGCAAGUAUGAAGAUUUCUCCAUCUUGAAUUUGCCUGGGCUUGAAGAAUCUUCAGGUUUCUUGGAGGGGGAUUAAAUUAAAUGGAAGGUUUCUUUAUUAUGACUCCAAAAUGAGAAACACGAAUAUUAUCUUUUUUAUUAUA
Camelina sativa (false flax) is the source of this 189-nucleotide non-coding RNA. The record is from RefSeq and is a predicted model, not a curated record. NCBI's taxonomy places the organism in Eukaryota, Viridiplantae, Streptophyta, Magnoliopsida, Brassicales, Brassicaceae.